UCGUGGCUAGUGUCCCCAGCGAGAUGGGAGGGCGUGUAGGGGCAGUUGCCUCCUCUUGAGAACCAUUGCUGCGGGUUGCCGUGCUCUCUGAACUUGUGCAGAGGACUCUCCAGGUGAAGGCUCAGCGCUCCAUCCAGCUGGAGACACCCUCGCUCCCCGGCACAGUCGGACCUUAGGAUCGGAGGCUUUUAACAUCUCCACAUCAUGAGAUUGGAAACCUUUAGGUCUUUUCUUCCAAACAUGCUCCAAAUCCACCGAGCCUGUUGACCAGGGCCAGCCAGGCAGAGGGCUGGGUUCGCUCAACGAGGCUCCUCUCGCCCGUCCUGGAGCUUCAGGCCUCUUUCCGUUGCAGAGAAGUUUUAUGGGCCACUUCCUUCGGCAUCCCCGGGGGCAGGGGCGCGGGGAAGAACAGGGUUUGUCUGCGGUUCUCGACCCUCAGCCAGACCUCCACUUUGAUGCGCGCUCUUCCAGGCUCCUGUUGGUCCCACUCGCCAGGAGUUAGGUCUCGGGUCAGCCUGAGCUCCCGAUACGCCCAGGCCCGGAAGGACACGUAGGGGAAACCGGCUGUUCACUUCGGUCCUUUCCCUUUUCUGACGGGAAAGAAAGGCGGCGUCUUGUCCUGUCCUGUUGGGUAGGCGGAAGAGAGAAGCUCAGGCUGACCCGAGACCUAACUCCUGGCGAGUGGGACCAACAGGAGCCUGGAAGAGCGCGCGCACCGGGGUGGAGGUUCAGCGCCCGGGGUCGAGAACCGCAGUCAAACCCUGUUCUUCCCCACGCACCGCGCCCCUGCCCCCGGGGAUGCCGAAGGAAGUGGCCCAUAAAAUUUCUCUGCAACCGAAAGGGGCCUGAAGCUUCAAGACGGGCGAGGAGCCUCGUUGAGGCAGACCCAGCCCUCUGCCUGGCUGGCCCUGGUCGCUUAGGCUCCCAGAGUGGCAGUUGGAGGACAGAACGGAAGAAAAGACCUAAAGGUUUCGAAUCUCAUGAUUUGGAGAUGUUAAAAGCCUCCGAUCCUAAGGUCGGACUGUGCCGGGGAGCGAGGGUGUCUCGAGCUGGAUCGAGCCCUGAGCCUUCAUCUGGAGAGUCCUCUGCACAAGUUCAGAGAGCACGGCAACCCGCAGCAAUGGUUCUCAAGAGGGGGCAACUUCGCCCUUACACGCCUCUCCCAUCCUCGCUGGGACACUAGGCCACGACU
RNAcentral lists this long non-coding RNA (1192 nucleotides) under Papio anubis (olive baboon). RNAcentral describes it as "lncRNA (ENSPANG00000037026.1)". The record is from RNAcentral. Lineage: Eukaryota; Metazoa; Chordata; Mammalia; Primates; Cercopithecidae.